UGUCACUUUCCACCUGAUCCUUUAAACGGAGUGAAGGUCUUCCUCUUCCUUUACUUCCACCAGCGAGCACUGCAGAAAAUGCUUUCGAAGCUAGAGUGACUGCAUCCAUUCGGACGACAUGCCGUUCACACUCUUCAGGCCAAUUGAACUUUCGUUAAAUCGAUGAGAGGCUUUACGUUUUUCGGUACCUCAAUCCGAAGCAUCGCCUUUACCUUCUCUAGGUCUACAUGUAGACUGCACUGCAGACCGUUCUUGUCGAAUCGUAGCCCAAAUAUUUUAGUUCGGACCGACAAAUAUUGAAUUUGUUCCUAUUUAAUCUUAGUCUUGCCAGCAAAUCUAUCGAAAACAAUCUUCAGACUGCAGUUACUUUUGCUUUGACUUGUCUGAGCGUCGAUCCUCGAGUGUCUUCUACAAUAUUAUACGCCUAAUGCUCAGAUUCAUGGUCAUAAAAUCUGAGAAAGCUGGGGUGUCUGCACUAAGGUAUGUAAGCAGAGGAGCCUCAAGGAGUGUAGGCUUCUCGCAUCACCAGGGAGUAAAAAACUGCUAAAUUAUCAGCACCAACGCUCCCAGGAACGAACCAGAGCAUUGCUGAGUCUGCAAAAUACCUGGGUCUCAUCCUGGACAGGACAUUGAGCAGGUAACAAAAUUCAAAAGAAAGAGUGCGUAAGGCGUACAUUGCCUUCUAUACCUGCAAAGUCCGAUAGGCCUUGGCUGUAUGUCACAGUUGUUAGGCCACACGUCUUUAUGGGGUUAUAGUUUGGUUGCCACCACUUGCGAAAAAAAAUAAUUAUCUCUAAAUUCGGUAGGGUACACAGGGCAUGUACGGAGCACUUUGUACCAUACCAUCCGAGGCUAUUAAUGUCCUCUUGGAUCUACUCCCCUUCACAGAAUGGGACCACACAAUGUCACCUUCGUCGCAGUAAGGCUACAAAAGGUGUCCGAAUGGAUAGUAAUAAGCCACAGGCAUACAAACAUCUUAAGAUGAUUUCGUCUUCCAGAAAAAACGGAUUAUUUCUUAUCAUCCACUGACUACACGGCAGAUUUCAAGAUGGUUAUCCAAGAUAGAAACCUAUGGAACAGAAUAAUACCAGCAAGCGCCGGGCCGAUUUAUUUUUAUACAUAUGUAAAUCCUUUCGCUUACCGGAUCACCGUAUUGUGGUGGUUAUACUCGAGGCUGUCAACUGUCUCAGCUCAAGGGUACUCUCGGACGAUCCUAUCCAUAUCAUUUCGGAUAGCACAAGAGGUGAGAAAAAAAUGGGUUCGGCCUAGCAUUGUCGGGAACACCUUAUUUAUAAAUUGAUCUAAUGCACUAGACUAUCUAUCACCUUACAACGAGUGGGCCACUAUUGCAACCAACGGUUUUGGUUCCGGCCGAAAAAUUACCACAUCAUUUUCGAUAUAUCCGGGAUAAUACCCGCCUUGCCCAAAAAUCGAUGCCAGGGCCUACGACUCGAGGUAACUCGGGAACCACAACGCAUUCCAGGACAACCGACCUGCCCUCCACCUCGAUCACUCGAACGACAAUUCCCUAUUCUGUCACCCGAUCCGCUUCAAGGCCCAAGCCUAUAACAACUGAAGCACUCAAUCUCCUUCUUGCAGUCUGCUGAAACGAUGCCAAAUGCCAGCAAUUAAAUUAUCGGGUGUUUGAGUCCGGUCUGAAACUAUCUGGCCAGCUCCGCUACUGCCGCGACCUCCACACCAGUCAAGUCAGCUUCCAACAAACCUCUGGUCUUAUGACUAAGAGAAAGGACAAACCAGUGUUGACCUCACUGGCUCGAGUCGCCUACCCAAAGCAACUGUAGUGUGACCACUUCCAGCUGGGUGGACGUCCCAUUUCGGAGCUCUCCGGUCUCUGAGACUGGAAUGCCUUUUUAUCCACGCAUCGUACCUCCACGAGCGCUAGACCGUACCGAUUUUCUCUUCGGCAUCUUCACUGCCGGCUACUUCAAAUUUUUUAUUAUUAAAAUCACAACUUAAAAAAGCUAUUAUUUACUUAUUUUACUGGCGUAGACACCGCUUACGCGAUUAUAGCCGAGUUAGCAACAUUGCGCCAGUCGUUUCUUCAUUUUGCCGUUUGGCGCCAAUUGGAAACACCAAUUACAGCCAAGUCCUACCUGGUCUUUCCAACGGAGUGGUGGUAUUCAUCUUCCCCUGAUUCCACCGGCGGGUACUGCAUCUAAAGCUUACAAAGCGGGAGUAUUCUGCUGAACUAUGUCAAUGUCGCCGUAUAUAUAUUAAAGCUCAUAAUUUCAUCGGCAGCGCUAUGCCAGUACGAAUUCGUAGAGGACCUAGAUUAACGGAACGCAAAACUUUUGUCUAAAAAACUCCAAAUGCCGACUAAUGAGAUGUUGUCAUCUAUGCUUCGGUCUGCUAUAUGGGACGGGAACGAUGAGAGACUUGUAGAGCUUGGUUUUCGUUCGUAGGGAGAGAACUUGACUUUUCAUUUGCCUACUCAGUCCAAAGUAGCAGCUGUUAGCGAGAGUAAUUCGUGGCUGACAUUGGUAUUGGUGUUGAUGCUGGUUCCUAUAUAGACGAAAUUAUCUACGACUUCAAAGUAAUGACUGUCAACAGUGACUUAGGAGCCGAAUGCAUCUUGCGUCGUGAAUACAAUGACUGUUUGUGUAAUGACCCAUGUCCUUCGCUUUCUUAUCCAGUCUGGAGAAAACUCACGGCGCGGUUGUUUCUGGCCAAUAAUAUGGAUAUCAGUGGCUUACGCCAGCAGCCUUACAUUCUUAGAGAAGAUUGUACCACCUAUAUUCAACUCUGCAGCUCAUAUUAUUUUCCCCAGUAAUAAGUUAAAAAAGUCCCACGAUAAGGAAUCACCUCUGAAAUCUCGUUGAGUGUCGAACACCUGGGAAAGGUCCUUGCCGAUGCUGACGGUGCUUUUAGUGUUGCUUAACUGUACUAAAGAGUUGACUACCUAUUGGACAUCGCAAGGUGUGGUAAACAUGCAAACGUGCUAUCGUUUGCUUCUUGGCAAUAUUUUUUAACACCUCAUGAUGCUAUCUAUGAGAUCAAGUUUUAUAAUUUUGGUUCAUCGUGAUUUUACUGUUUUAACACUUUUAAAAGUUUCUAAGCGCCUUGCGAUUCUUUACAACUGGAUACUGCGAAGGUCCCGUCGGAGAGCGAUGGGAAAUAUCCAUAAGUCUGUCGUUAGUAAGCCGUUAUAUUCAUCGAGUAACAGACACAAUAAACCGCUCGCUGUUUUCUGCAAAGGUUAGAUUUCCAGUGAUGCAAAAAGAGCGACAAGCUGCAAAGGAAAUGUCACAAAGAAGCGUAUGUAAGCCACCAUGGAUUCAUUCUAUCAAUAUGCAAAAGGUCAACGUUAAGUACCCAGGAGCACGCCACGAUUCUUUUAUUUGGAGCUCACCUAUAGUGAGAAGAGUAACACAGCGUAGUUUUGACAGUGGAAGCCGUCAUAUGUUUUUGACUGAUAAACUUUGAAAACCUUAGGAACUCACUUAUUAAAAAUAAUUGUGAAUCAAUUAGGGCCGUGUUUAAUGACUCCUCUUCCAAACCAACUACAAGGAAGCUAUAAUAGGCAUUGUUUAAAGCGCGUAACCCAGUCGAGCGAUACGUUCUCAAAGGAACUUGACGAUGCCUAUAUCAACAAAGAUUUCUUUUGUAUAACGCUGGAUUCCCUAAUAGCAUAGUGAAUGCGUGCUGCACUCGACUCGGCUAACAUAUUUUGGAAAAAACGAAACGAUAAAAUAAUUAAAACCUAUACUAGCUGUGUUUGCAAAUACAGAAAUACUUACUUUAAAGGCAUUCGCUUGUAUUUGGGCAAUUUCAAUCUUCUACACGUAUUCUCUUACUGCCUCUGAGUGGAGCUUUUGUGGCUUGAGUUGUACGAGUCUAUGCAUGCAUCAAAAAAUCGAUACCAUUUGAAAAUGUACGCAUCCCGAUAAUAAUGCUUUCACCCUCUUCACCUUCCUCAAAGCGCAGUUGCAGUUCCUAGUAUUGAGGAUAAUUUCAGUCUCUUAUAUUUAGCAUUCGCAUCCAUACGGACUGCAUGACCUAGCCUGCGUAGCCGCUGCCCUUUAUUCGCUGAACUAUGUUAAUAUCAUUAUGUAGCUCGUACAGCUCAUCGUUCCAUCGUCUGCGGUAUC
Molecule: long non-coding RNA, 4109 nt
Filed under: Ceratitis capitata (Mediterranean fruit fly)
Lineage: Eukaryota; Metazoa; Arthropoda; Insecta; Diptera; Tephritidae
Description: uncharacterized LOC110119077, transcript variant X2
Source: RNAcentral